CCCCUUCAACUCGCCACAUUUCCUGCCUAUAUUCACCAGCGUCGGCUUGCCGACUAUGGCGAUAAACGCGCUCGUAAUAACCGGACCGGACCCGGGGGCAGUACCCGGCGGCUCCACCAUAUCCUUCCCCGCACCACCUUCAGCAAGUGGCCGGGCUGGCAUGGGGCCGAAACAGGAUCGACGGACGGGUAAAGGGGAUUGCUUUCGCCCGGGUGAGGCCCGUUACAGGCUCGCUUAUGAAAGUUGCCAACGACAACUUUGCUGAAGAGGUCGCUCUCGCUGCAUAGUCAGCGCGGGUAAUCUCGCCUUAAAGUCCUGGACCCUUUAGCCGGUCCAGGCGGGGCUCGGAGGCGCCUGGCAACAGAAGCCUCCACU
RNAcentral lists this transfer-messenger RNA (375 nucleotides) under Maricaulis sp. It matches the Rfam family "Alphaproteobacteria transfer-messenger RNA". From Rfam's summary of the family: Bacterial tmRNA, also known as 10Sa RNA or SsrA, is named for its dual tRNA and mRNA-like properties. The record is from RNAcentral. Lineage: Bacteria; Pseudomonadati; Pseudomonadota; Alphaproteobacteria; Maricaulales; Maricaulaceae.